This 64-nucleotide transfer RNA is filed under the name Liposcelis nr. bostrychophila AZ. RNAcentral's name for it is "tRNA-Ile". The record is from RNAcentral. Lineage: Eukaryota; Metazoa; Arthropoda; Insecta; Psocodea; Liposcelididae.
UUGGGGUACCUUAAAAUAAAGGUUUGUUUUGAUGUAACAACAAUAGAAUAAUUUUCUUUCCAAA